RNAcentral lists this ribosomal RNA (301 nucleotides) under uncultured bacterium. RNAcentral's name for it is "partial 16S ribosomal RNA". It matches the Rfam family "Bacterial small subunit ribosomal RNA", at positions 509 to 809 of the family's 1533-position model. The record is from RNAcentral.
CAGCCGCCGCGGUAACACGUAGGUGGCAAGCGUUGUCCGGAAUUAUUGGGCGUAAAGCGCGCGCAGGCGGAUCGGUCAGUCUGUCUUAAAAGUUCGGGGCUUAACCCCGUGAUGGGAUGGAAACUGCCAAUCUAGAGUAUCGGAGAGGAAAGUGGAAUUCCUAGUGUAGCGGUGAAAUGCGUAGAUAUUAGGAAGAACACCAGUGGCGAAGGCGACUUUCUGGACGAAAACUGACGCUGAGGCGCGAAAGCCAGGGGAGCGAACGGGAUUAGAUACCCGCGUAGUCCCUGUCUCUUAUACA